UGCACAAGGCGGUGGAGCAUGUGGUUUAAUUCGAUGCAACGCGAAGAACCUUACCUACUCUUGACAUCCAGAGAACUUUCCAGAGAUGGAUUGGUGCCUUCGGGAACUCUGAGACAGGUGCUGCAUGGCUGUCGUCAGCUCGUGUUGUGAAAUGUUGGGUUAAGUCCCGCAACGAGCGCAACCCUUAUCCUUUGUUGCCAGCGGUUCGGCCGGGAACUCAAAGGAGACUGCCAGUGAUAAACUGGAGGAAGGUGGGGAUGACGUCAAGUCAUCAUGGCCCUUACGACCAGGGCUACACACGUGCUACAAUGGCGCAUACAAAGAGAAGCGACCUCGCGAGAGCAAGCGGACCUCAUAAAGUAUGUCGUAGUCCGGAUUGGAGUCUGCAACUCGACUCCAUGAAGUCGGAAUCGCUAGUAAUCGUGGAUCAGAAUGCCACGGUGAAUACGUUUCCCGGGCA
This 460-nucleotide ribosomal RNA is filed under the name uncultured soil bacterium. RNAcentral's name for it is "bacterial SSU rRNA". It matches the Rfam family "Bacterial small subunit ribosomal RNA", at positions 923 to 1375 of the family's 1533-position model. The record is from RNAcentral.